GCUGGGCAUAGUGGCACACACCUGUAAUCCCAGCAGUCGGGAGGCUGAGGCAGGAGGAUCACAAGUUCGAAGCCAGCCUCAGCAACUUAGCGAGGCCCUAGACAACUCAGUGAGACCCUGUCUCUA
RNAcentral lists this small RNA (126 nucleotides) under Marmota monax (woodchuck). The record is from RNAcentral. Lineage: Eukaryota; Metazoa; Chordata; Mammalia; Rodentia; Sciuridae.